Long non-coding RNA from Nothoprocta perdicaria, 326 nucleotides. RefSeq lists it as uncharacterized. The record is from RefSeq and is a predicted model, not a curated record. The transcript has 4 exons. Lineage: Eukaryota; Metazoa; Chordata; Aves; Tinamiformes; Tinamidae.
AAGGACGUGCAAGGCACAUGGCCCAGCUCGGAGGCAAGAAGAUGAUGGCAAAAUUGUGAAUUUAGGACUACAUGGUUCAGACAAUAGAUCUAGCUGAAAACCGAAGCCCUGUUUAUAUUCCAGAACUAAGUAUUCCGGUAAYGCAGUCUGUUUAAUCUAGUAUCUGAUGAGAAUGGAGGAGAGGGAAAUGCUGUACAACAUAUUCACUGCAACAAAGUCCUAGCAAAGAAAACGUAAAUGCAUGAAUAUGACACAAACACCCCUUCUGUCAACACAGGCUCACAGAGACUUGUUUAAUUUGCAAAAGGCAUGUCUCCUGAGUGACU